Long non-coding RNA from Bos taurus (domestic cattle), 1094 nucleotides. The record is from Ensembl. Lineage: Eukaryota; Metazoa; Chordata; Mammalia; Artiodactyla; Bovidae.
UAGAAAAAGGAACUAUGGGCCAAGGAACGCUGGCAGCCUCUAGAUGCUGGAAAAAGCAAAGAAACAGAUUCUCUGCUAGAGCCUCCAGGAGGAACACAGUCCUGCCAAGACCUUGAUUUUGGCCCAGCAAAAUCCAGUUUGGAUUCUUCUGAACUCCAGAUCUGAGUGAUAAAUUUUGGUGGUUUUAUGACACUAAGAGUGUGAUAAUUUGUUACAGCAGCAGUAAGAAACUCAUACACCAAGUCACCGACACGAUUUCCUUCUCCGACGUUAUUUCCUUCUAGUACUUCUCUCUAGCUGAAAUUCUGUUGUUCGGUUGACUUGCUUGUUAGUUGUUUCUAGACCACUCCACUCCUUCAGGAAUAGAAACUUUUCGAGAUGAGGAGGGGUAGCCCUCAGAUUGAGCCCAUUGCCCGUCCCACACUGAGUCAAUGAACUACUAAUAAUGUUGUUGAAAUUGCUCAACAUUACUCAGUAACACCAGAGAGCAGGAAUGUGGUAUUCAUUCUUAGGAAUCUAUUGUGUUCAGGGACAUGAGAAGCAAUGGGAUGGAGAGAAGUAUAAACAGCUCCUGAUACCCAGGAGAUCACAAUCCAGUCACAUGGAAUAACAAGCUAAGUGAAAGGAAUAACUAGGAAUGAUCAACAGACAAAUCGACCUAUGGAAAAGAAUCAAGAACCCAGAAAUAAACCCAAGCAUAUAUGGCCAACUAAUAUUUGGCAGAGGAGCCAAGAACACUGAAUGGGAAAAAGACAGUCUCUUCAACUGAUGCUUGGAAAAUUGGAUAUUCACAUGAAAAAGAAUGAAACUUAACCCUUAUCUUACACCACUCAUGAAAAUUAACUCAAAUGGAUUAAAGACAUAAAUAUAAGACCUGAAACCAUGAGACUCCUGGAAGAAAACAGGAAAAAAAACUCCUUGACAUGGAAAUUGGUAGUGAUUUUUCUUGGAAACCUAAACCACGAGCAACAAAAUAAAAAAUAAAUACAGAUGGCUACAUCAAACUAAAAAGCUUCUGCACAGCAAAAGAAGCCAUCAACAAAUUGAAAAAAAAUCUAUGAAAUAGGAAAAAUAUUUGCCAAUAUUCAAAAUAU